AGCUGCUACUCUUUUAGGCUGAUUACUCUGUCUUUUAAUUUAGUUCUCUAUAUUAUUUCGUGGAUCCAUGUAGUUCAGGAGUUUUUUGUGACUUAGACAAGUGUAGCGCAGGGCAUUUUGUUGCUAUGUUUUAUUCUGUCUAUCUAAUUUUUUAUUCUCUAAUGAAAUUUACUUUACUUAAUUGCUAUAUGGCUAUUUGAUGUGUUGUUCCUUCUAUAAUUCGGUUCGUUGUUUAGAUUGCACACAAGUGUCACAUAAUGUCAUAUCUAGAAUUAGGAUAUGUGGUCUUCUUUCGAGAGUCUGUAGGGCUUGUUUUAUUAACUAGCCCUUUUGUAGAACUCCCUUAUUAAUAUUGAAAUAACUUGUUAGUAUUUUUUUCUAGUAGUUCAAAAAGAACUUCCAUGAUUUUGGUUUUACUUACAUACUAGUUUUUGGGCAUAUUAGUUUUUUUUCUUGACAAGCUGAUAUAAAUUCUUUUAUGUGCUACUAUAAUGGAUAAGAGUUGCAUAAAAAAAAAGAUGGUCAGAUUAAAAUUCAUAUAGGCAAAAGUGGCAUUCCUUUAAUCCCAACAAUCAAAUACUUAUUCUUCACAAGUUACGAAUUGGUAAUAUGUUAUUUUGUUAGCUAAUCUUUUGAAUAAAAGUUCUCUAUUCUUUUUAUUAUAGGUUGAAGAGAUUGCUGGUAAUAUGAUUUUGAAGAGAUCAAGUGCAUCAGAUAAUAGCAGGGAUGGCAAAGGUGCAAGUGCAUUGGAGCAGCAAGGAUUUCAAGCUACCUAGGCUGCCCAACCUCGCACACGACAUCGUCUUCG
This is a long non-coding RNA of Ananas comosus (pineapple), 808 nucleotides long. RefSeq lists it as uncharacterized. The record is from RefSeq and is a predicted model, not a curated record. NCBI's taxonomy places the organism in Eukaryota, Viridiplantae, Streptophyta, Magnoliopsida, Poales, Bromeliaceae. The transcript is spliced from 2 exons.